GACGAACGCUGGCGGCGUGCUUAACACAUGCAAGUCGAACGGACAGGCCCUGCUCUUGCUGGGUUCUCGAGUGGCGAACGGGUGAGUAACACGCGAGUAUCCUGCCCUUAACUUUCGGAUAAAUUCUCGAAACUGGGGCUAAUACCGGAUAGGAUAUCCUGCAGCAUGGUGGGGGUUGGAAAGUUUCGGCGGUUGGGGCUGGUAUCGCGGCUUAUCCGCUUGUUGGUGUGGUAGUGGCUUACCAAGGCUUUGACGGGUAGCCGGCCUGAGAGGGUGACCGGCCACCUUGGGACUGAGAGACGGCCCAGACUCCUACGGGAGGCAGCAGUGGGGAAUAUUGCGCAAUGGGCGGAAGCCUGAUGCAGCAACGCCGCGUGCGGGAUGACGGCCUUCGGGUUGUAAACCGCUUUCGCCUGUGACGAAGCGUGAGUGACGGUAAUGGGUAAAGAAGCACCGGCUAACUACGUG
RNAcentral lists this ribosomal RNA (468 nucleotides) under uncultured bacterium. RNAcentral describes it as "partial 16S ribosomal RNA". It matches the Rfam family "Bacterial small subunit ribosomal RNA", at positions 28 to 507 of the family's 1533-position model. The record is from RNAcentral.